UACGGGGGGAGCAAGCGUUGUUCGGAUUUACUGGGCGUAAAGGGCGCGUAGGCGGUCGUGACAAGUCACUUGUGAAAUCUCCGGGCUUAACUCGGAACGGUCAAGUGAUACUGUCGGACUAGAGUACAGAAGGGGCAACUGGAAUUCUCGGUGUAGCGGUGAAAUGCGUAGAUAUCGAGAGGAACACCUGCGGCGAAGGCGGCUCGCUGGACAGUUACUGACACUCAACUACGAAAGCGUGGGGAGCAAACAGG
Molecule: ribosomal RNA, 254 nt
Filed under: uncultured bacterium
Lineage: Bacteria
Description: partial 16S ribosomal RNA
Rfam family: Bacterial small subunit ribosomal RNA
Source: RNAcentral